UCGAGGACGACGCUGGCGGCGUGGAUUAGGCAUGCAAGUCGAACGGUAUCAUCCUUCGGGGGUGAGAGAGUGGCGAACUGGUGAGUAACACGUAGGUUAUCUACCCUCAAGACGGGGACAACCCAGGGAAACUUGGGCUAAUACCGGAUGUGAGCAACUUUUAGUUGUUUGAAAGGUGGCGUAAGCUGUCGCUUGGGGAUGAGCCUGCGUCCUAUUAGUUAGUUGGUGAGGUAACGGCUCACCUAGGCAAUGAUAGGUAGGCGGCCUUAACGGGUGGUCGCCCACACUGGGAUUGAGAUACGGCCCAGACUCCUACGGGAGGCAGCAGUCGAGAAUAGUCUACAAUGGUCGGAAGACUGAUAGUGCGACGCCGCGUGAACGAUGAAUCCCUUCGGGGUGUAAAGUUCUUUUAUAUGUGAGCAGUGCUUCUUAUAUUAACAGUAUGGGGAGAGAGAUAUUAGCAUAUGAAUAAGCAACGGCUAACUCCGUG
RNAcentral lists this ribosomal RNA (490 nucleotides) under uncultured bacterium. RNAcentral describes it as "bacterial SSU rRNA". It matches the Rfam family "Bacterial small subunit ribosomal RNA", at positions 33 to 507 of the family's 1533-position model. The record is from RNAcentral.